AUGGGGGGUGGACUCGGGAGAGAAUAGAGGGCAAGAGGGAUUCAGUAUGUGAGAUGGGUCGGAGUAAACAUUUAUUGACAUAUGACUAUAUGAGAUUAAGCACUAACAAUUAUUUUUAUCAGAUUUAUGCCUAACUAAUAAUACAAAUUAAUUGUUAUAUGCUGUGUAUUAAUUGAGAUUGCUUAGGUUUCUCAUGAGAAAAAUUUGUUACAAACCUCCUAAAAAAAGAAGGAAGAUAUAUAAGGAUUAUUUUGGGUUGAGGGGAUAUGGUGGUAAUGCACCAAAGGAUAAUUAGAGUUAUUUUUAGAAUAGUAGAAUAUUUACUUGU
This 328-nucleotide long non-coding RNA is filed under the name Phoenix dactylifera (date palm). RNAcentral describes it as "long non-coding RNA (PDAC_LNC015014)". The record is from RNAcentral. Lineage: Eukaryota; Viridiplantae; Streptophyta; Magnoliopsida; Arecales; Arecaceae.